AACGCACAUUGCGCUCCUUGGCAUUCCGGGGAGCAUGCCUGGCUGAGAACCUUUGAAAUCUCACCACCCUUCGGGGAGGUGGAACUGGGUCAUCCGAGCGAGCUCGGCGAUCCGAAAAGCAUAGGUGGAUCCGGUACUGACCGUUUCGCCCCGAAAGCGUACCAGUAGGUCUUACCUUCGAGCGCUGACAAAGGGUGAUCUCGGCGAGCAUCGGUGAAGCUCCAAACCCCCCCUGCAGGAGAUCUCACGAUCUCUGUUCUGGGUCUCAGAUCAGGCAAGAUCACCCGCUGAACUUAA
Molecule: unclassified non-coding RNA, 297 nt
Filed under: uncultured fungus
Lineage: Eukaryota; Fungi
Description: partial contains 5.8S ribosomal RNA, internal transcribed spacer 2, and large subunit ribosomal RNA
Source: RNAcentral